This 433-nucleotide ribosomal RNA is filed under the name uncultured bacterium. RNAcentral describes it as "partial 16S ribosomal RNA". It matches the Rfam family "Bacterial small subunit ribosomal RNA", at positions 29 to 507 of the family's 1533-position model. The record is from RNAcentral.
AACGAACGCUGGCGGCAUGCCUAACACAUGCAAGUCGAACGAGACCUUCGGGUCUAGUGGCGCACGGGUGCGUAACGCGUGGGAACCUGCCCUUAGGUUAGGAAUAACUCCCCGAAAGGGGUGCUAAUACCGGAUAAUGUCUUCGGACCAAAGAUUUAUCGCCUUUGGAUGGGCCCGCGUUGGAUUAGCUAGUUGGUAGGGUAAAAGCCUACCAAGGCGACGAUCCAUAGCUGGGCUGAGAGGAUGAUCAGCCACACUGGGACUGAGACACGGCCCAGACUCCUACGGGAGGCAGCAGUGGGGAAUAUUGGACAAUGGGCGAAAGCCUGGUCCAGCAACGCCGCGUGAGUGAUGAAGGCCUUAGGGUAGUAAAGCUCUUUUACCCGGGAUGAUAAUGACAGUACCGGGAGAAUAAGCUCCGGCUAACUCCGUG